GCGAUAGCGCGGUGGUCCCACCUGACCCCAUGCCGAACUCAGAAGUGAAACGCCGUAGCGCCGAUGGUAGUGUGGGGCUUCCCCAUGUGAGAGUAGGGAACUGCCAGGC
Molecule: ribosomal RNA, 109 nt
Filed under: Pectobacterium carotovorum subsp. carotovorum
Lineage: Bacteria; Pseudomonadati; Pseudomonadota; Gammaproteobacteria; Enterobacterales; Pectobacteriaceae
Also listed under: 2 other names
Source: RNAcentral